CCUACGGGGGGCUGCAGUGGGGAAUAUUGGACAAUGGGCGAAAGCCUGAUCCAGCCAUGCCGCGUGUGUGAAGAAGGCCUUCGGGUUGUAAAGCACUUUCAGUGGGGAAGAAAGCCUUGGGGCUAAUACCCUCGAGGAAGGACAUCACCCACAGAAGAAGCACCGGCUAACUCCGUGCCAGCAGCCGCGGUAAAUACGGAGGGUGCGAGCGUUAAUCGGAAUUACUGGGCGUAAAGCGCGCGUAGGCGGUCUGAUAAGCCGGUUGUGAAAGCCCCGGGCUCAACCUGGGAACGGCAUCCGGAACUGUCAGGCUAGAGUGCAGGAGAGGAAGGUAGAAUUCCCGGUGUAGCGGUGAAAUGCGUAGAGAUCGGGAGGAAUACCAGUGGCGAAGGCGGCCUUCUGGACUGACACUGACGCUGAGGUGCGAAAGCGUGGGUAGCAAACAGGAUUAGAUACCCUGGUAGUC
Molecule: ribosomal RNA, 466 nt
Filed under: Vreelandella stevensii
Lineage: Bacteria; Pseudomonadati; Pseudomonadota; Gammaproteobacteria; Oceanospirillales; Halomonadaceae
Description: partial 16S ribosomal RNA
Rfam family: Bacterial small subunit ribosomal RNA
Source: RNAcentral